RNAcentral lists this ribosomal RNA (476 nucleotides) under uncultured Tricholoma. RNAcentral's name for it is "eukaryotic LSU rRNA". The stretch from base 67 to 220 matches the Rfam family "5.8S ribosomal RNA". The record is from RNAcentral. Lineage: Eukaryota; Fungi; Basidiomycota; Agaricomycetes; Agaricales; Tricholomataceae.
UUUUUAUCACAAAUGUAUGACAAUGAAUGUUAUGUUGGGCAUUUAUUGCCUUUAAAAACCUAAUACAACUUUCAACAACGGAUCUCUUGGCUCUCGCAUCGAUGAAGAACGCAGCGAAAUGCGAUAAGUAAUGUGAAUUGCAGAAUUCAGUGAAUCAUCGAAUCUUUGAACGCACCUUGCGCUCCUUGGUAUUCCGAGGAGCAUGCCUGUUUGAGUAUCAUGAAAUUCUCAACCUUGCUUUUGCAUCUGUGAAAUCAGGGUUGGAUUGUGGGAGACUUUUUUGCAGGCUUCAAAUCGAAGUCUGCUCUCCUGAAAUAUAUUAGCAGAGUUGCAUGAACAGCUUUUUAUUGGUGUGAUAAUCAUCUAUGCCAUGGGCUGUGAAAGCGAGUUUGCCUUCCAAUUUUAACAUCCGUUAUUCAUGACUUUUUGAUCUCAAAUCAGGUAGGACUACCCGCUGAACUUAAGCAUAUCAAUAA